AGUGAACGCUGGCGGUAGGCCUAACACAUGCAAGUCGAACGGCAGCACAGUAAAAGCUUGCUCUUACGGGUGGCGAGUGGCGGACGGGUGAGGAAUACAUCGGAAUCUACUUUUUCGUGGGGGAUAACGUAGGGACACUUACGCUAAUACCGCAUACUACCUACGGGUGAAAGCAGGGGCUCUUCGGACCUUGCGCGAUUGAAUGAGCCGAUGUCGGAUUAGCUAGUUGGCGGGGUAAAGGCCCACCAAGGCGACGAUCCGUAGCUGGUCUGAGAGGAUGAUCGGCCACACUGGAACGGAAACACGGUCCAAACUCCUACGGGAGGCAGCAGUGGGGAAUAUUGGACAAUGGGCGCAAGCCUGAUCCAGCCAGACCGCGUGGGUGAAGAAGGCCUUCGGGUUGUAAAGCCCUUUUGUUGGGAAAGAAAAGCAGCAGGUUAAUACCCCGCUGUUCUGACGGUACCCAAAGAAUAAGCACCGGCUAACUUCGU
This 491-nucleotide ribosomal RNA is filed under the name uncultured bacterium. RNAcentral describes it as "partial 16S ribosomal RNA". It matches the Rfam family "Bacterial small subunit ribosomal RNA", at positions 29 to 506 of the family's 1533-position model. The record is from RNAcentral.